This 270-nucleotide non-coding RNA is filed under the name Lentilactobacillus diolivorans. RNAcentral describes it as "Lactobacillus diolivorans T-box sequence". It matches the Rfam family "T-box leader". From Rfam's summary of the family: Uncharged tRNA acts as the effector for transcription antitermination of genes in the T-box leader family. Lineage: Bacteria; Bacillati; Bacillota; Bacilli; Lactobacillales; Lactobacillaceae. The record is from RNAcentral.
UAUGAAGUUAUGAUUAGAAAAGUAAUGGUUUGUUUCACAUAAAGAGAGCUCCGCUGGUGAGAAGGAGUUGUGGCGAAUCACGAAAACACAUCUAUGAACUGAAUGAUUGAAUCAAUCUUUGAUUGGGUAGGUUGUUCCGCUAGCGAGCGUUACCACGGCUACUACAACUGUUCUCCAUUUUCAAUGGACGACUAGUUGUGAGCAGCGUAAGGUCGUUAUCGUGAGGUAGCGGCAAAGUAGAGGUGGCACCGCGACAGACUCGUCCUCGGA